RNAcentral lists this ribosomal RNA (336 nucleotides) under uncultured bacterium. Its description in RNAcentral is "partial 16S ribosomal RNA". It matches the Rfam family "Bacterial small subunit ribosomal RNA", at positions 338 to 691 of the family's 1533-position model. The record is from RNAcentral.
CCUACGGGAGGCAGCAGUAGGGAAUAUUGCUCAAUGGGGGAAACCCUGAAGCAGCAACGCCGCGUGGAGGAUGAAGGUUUUCGGAAGGUAAACUCCUAUUGGUAGAGAAGAAAAUGACGGUAGAUAACGAAUAAGCACCGGCUAACGCCGUGCCAGCAGCCGCGGGAAUACGGAGGGUGCAAGCGUUACGCGGAAUCACUGGGCGGAAAGAGCGCGUAGGCGGGAUAGGAAGUGAGAGGGGACAUCCUAGGGCUGAACCAUAUAACUGCAUUUGAAACUGUUAUUCUAGAGUAUGGGAGAGGUAGGUGGCAUUCUUGUUGUAGGGGUCAAAUCCGU